GGGUCUGCGAUAGGUGGUGCAUGGCUGUCGUCAGCUCGUGUCGUGAGAUGUUGGGUUAAGUCCCGCAACGAGCGCAACCCUUUUCCUAUGUUACCAGCGGGUUAUGCCGGGGACUCGUAGGAGACUGCCGGGGUCAACUCGGAGGAAGGUGGGGAUGAGGUCAAGUCAUCAUGCCCCUUACGUCCAGGGCUGCACACAUGCUACAAUGGCCGGUACAAAGGGCUGCUAUUCCGCGAGGAUGAGCGAAUCCCAAAAAGCCGGUCUCAGUUCGGAUCGCAGUCUGCAACUCGACUGCGUGAAGUCGGAGUCGCUAGUAAUCCCGGAUCAGCAACGCCGGGGUGAAUACGUUCCCGGGCCUUGUACACACCGCCCGUCACACCACGAAAGUUGGCAACACCCGAAGCCAGUGGCCCAACCCUUUUGGGAGGGAGCUGUCGAAGGUGGGGUUAGCGAUUGGGGUGAAGUCGUA
This 469-nucleotide ribosomal RNA is filed under the name uncultured Pseudomonadota bacterium. RNAcentral's name for it is "bacterial SSU rRNA". It matches the Rfam family "Bacterial small subunit ribosomal RNA", at positions 1025 to 1490 of the family's 1533-position model. The record is from RNAcentral. Lineage: Bacteria; Pseudomonadati; Pseudomonadota.